This 649-nucleotide ribosomal RNA is filed under the name Bacillus sp. (in: firmicutes). Its description in RNAcentral is "bacterial SSU rRNA". It matches the Rfam family "Bacterial small subunit ribosomal RNA", at positions 64 to 696 of the family's 1533-position model. The record is from RNAcentral. Lineage: Bacteria; Bacillati; Bacillota; Bacilli; Caryophanales; Bacillaceae.
GAGCGAACAGAAGGGAGCUUGCUCCCGGAUGUUAGCGGCGGACGGGUGAGUAACACGUGGGUAACCUGCCUGUAAGACUGGGAUAACUCCGGGAAACCGGAGCUAAUACCGGAUAGUUCCUUGAACCGCAUGGUUCAAGGAUGAAAGACGGUUUCGGCUGUCACUUACAGAUGGACCCGCGGCGCAUUAGCUAGUUGGUGGGGUAAUGGCUCACCAAGGCGACGAUGCGUAGCCGACCUGAGAGGGUGAUCGGCCACACUGGGACUGAGACACGGCCCAGACUCCUACGGGAGGCAGCAGUAGGGAAUCUUCCGCAAUGGACGAAAGUCUGACGGAGCAACGCCGCGUGAGUGAUGAAGGUUUUCGGAUCGUAAAGCUCUGUUGUUAGGGAAGAACAAGUGCGAGAGUAACUGCUCGCACCUUGACGGUACCUAACCAGAAAGCCACGGCUAACUACGUGCCAGCAGCCGCGGUAAUACGUAGGUGGCAAGCGUUGUCCGGAAUUAUUGGGCGUAAAGGGCUCGCAGGCGGUUUCUUAAGUCUGAUGUGAAAGCCCCCGGCUCAACCGGGGAGGGUCAUUGGAAACUGGGAAACUUGAGUGCAGAAGAGGAGAGUGGAAUUCCACGUGUAGCGGUGAAAUGCGUAGAGA